This 484-nucleotide ribosomal RNA is filed under the name uncultured bacterium. Its description in RNAcentral is "partial 16S ribosomal RNA". It matches the Rfam family "Bacterial small subunit ribosomal RNA", at positions 30 to 507 of the family's 1533-position model. The record is from RNAcentral.
AUUGAACGCUGGCGGCAGGCCUAACACAUGCAAGUCGAGCGGAUGAAGGGAGCUUGCUCCUGGAUUCAGCGGCGGACGGGUGAGUAAUGCCUAGGAAUCUGCCUGGUAGUGGGGGAUAACGUCCGGAAACGGGCGCUAAUACCGCAUACGUCCUGAGGGAGAAAGUGGGGGAUCUUCGGACCUCACGCUAUCAGAUGAGCCUAGGUCGCAUUAGCUAGUUGGUGGGGUAAAGGCCUACCAAGGCGACGAUCCGUAACUGGUCUGAGAGGAUGAUCAGUCACACUGGAACUGAGACACGGUCCAGACUCCUACGGGAGGCAGCAGUGGGGAAUAUUGGACAAAGGGCGAAAGCCUGAUCCAGCCAUGCCGCGUGUGUGAAGAAGGUCUUCGGAUUGUAAAGCACUUUAAGUUGGGAGGAAGGGCAGUAAGUUAAUACCUUGCUGUUUUGACGUUACCAACAGGAUAAGCACCGGCUAACUUCGUG